UUCAACAGGCUAGGGGAGAAAUCCUGAGCGGAUGGGCUGACUCACAGGAUUCUUGUGACUUUCCUUUAUGUUUGUGAGGACAUGAAGAGUCCAAAAGAAAGAGAAAGAUGCAGAACAAUGGAACAUACUGGAAUAGAGGGAUCCUUCCGAUUUCAGUGCUUCUGAUCCAGCAAGGACCAACCACAUGCUGAUCAUCUGUCACUGCAGCAUUCUCCUCAGAGAUAUUGAAAGGAAAAGGCUCUAUUGAUGCUGCUAUCAUAGACAGAACCUGUGGUUCUCUCUACCUCUCAAACUAACACAGCCUGUCACCACAUAGGCACUCCCCAAGACCAGGAUUGGACUGGCAGUAACAGAAUGAAUCGAUAAACACACUACGGUGUCCAAAUGCCCAUUAUGGGACCAGGCUGGAGAGCAGAGCCAAGGAAGAACCAGCAAGAUGCAGACAGUGUCCAGGAGGCACAGGGAUGAGGACACGUCUUCCUCCCCCCAAAUCAGGCAGAGGUGGAAAUUGAACCUGGGUCUUACACAUCUCAGACCAUCGCUAAAGGUGUGAAGUAGCACAAGACCAGGAUUGGAACGGAUCCCUGCAGGACCCCACUAGAAACACACCCAUGUGAUGAUUCCCCAUUUACAACUACAUUGGGGAAUGGAUACAUUGUAGUUGUUAAUCCAUUUAAUGUGGGCCAUGUUGAUUUUAUAUCAUUCUAGUUUCUUAAUCAAAAUAUUGUGCAGU
Mauremys reevesii (Reeves's turtle) is the source of this 733-nucleotide long non-coding RNA. RefSeq lists it as uncharacterized. The record is from RefSeq and is a predicted model, not a curated record. The transcript is spliced from 3 exons. Lineage: Eukaryota; Metazoa; Chordata; Testudines; Geoemydidae.